UAGGGAAUCUUCCGCAAUGGGCGAAAGCCUGACGGAGCAACGCCGCGUGAGUGAUGAAGGUCUUCGGAUCGUAAAACUCUGUUAUUAGGGAAGAACAAAUGUGUAAGUAACUAUGCACGUCUUGACGGUACCUAAUCAGAAAGCCACGGCUAACUACGUGCCAGCAGCCGCGGUAAUACGUAGGUGGCAAGCGUUAUCCGGAAUUAUUGGGAGUAAAGCGCGCGUAGGCGGUUUUUUAAGUCUGAUGUGAAAGCCCACGGCCCAACCGUGGAGUGUCAUUGGAAUCUGGAAUACUUGAGUUCAGAAGAGGACAGUGGAAUUCCAUGUGUAGCGCUAAAAUGCGCAGUUUUUUGGUGGAACACCAUUGGCGUAUGCGACUUUCUGGUCUGUUACUGACGCUGCUGUUCGAAAGCGUGGGUAUCAAACAUG
Molecule: ribosomal RNA, 429 nt
Filed under: Actinomycetes bacterium
Lineage: Bacteria; Bacillati; Actinomycetota; Actinomycetes
Description: Actinobacteria bacterium partial 16S ribosomal RNA
Rfam family: Bacterial small subunit ribosomal RNA
Source: RNAcentral